RNAcentral lists this ribosomal RNA (497 nucleotides) under uncultured bacterium. RNAcentral's name for it is "partial 16S ribosomal RNA". It matches the Rfam family "Bacterial small subunit ribosomal RNA", at positions 28 to 507 of the family's 1533-position model. The record is from RNAcentral.
GAUGAACGCUGGCGGCGUGCCUAAUACAUGCAAGUCGAGCGAACAGACGAGGAGCUUGCUCCUUUGACGUUAGCGGCGGACGGGUGAGUAACACGUAGGUAACCUACCUAUAAGACUGGGAUAACUUCGGGAAACCGGAGCUAAUACCGGAUAAUAUUUCGAACCGCAUGGUUCGAUAGUGAAAGAUGGCUUUGCUAUCACUUAUAGAUGGACCUGCGCCGUAUUAGCUAGUUGGUAAGGUAACGGCUUACCAAGGCAACGAUACGUAGCCGACCUGAGAGGGUGAUCGGCCACACUGGAACUGAGACACGGUCCAGACUCCUACGGGAGGCAGCAGUAGGGAAUCUUCCGCAAUGGGCGAAAGCCUGACGGAGCAACGCCGCGUGAGUGAUGAAGGUCUUCGGAUCGUAAAACUCUGUUAUGAGGGAAGAACAAACGUGUAAGUAACUGUGCACGUCCUGACGGUACCUAAUCAGAAAGCCACGGCUAACUACGUG